ACUACCAUGGCAGUCACGGUAACGGAGAAUAGGGUUCGAUUCCGGAGAGGAGCCUGAGAAACGGCUACCACAUCUACGGAAGGCAGCAGGCGCGUAAAUUACCCAAUCCUGAUUCAGGGAGGUAGUGACAAGAAUAACAACUCGGGGGCCUCACGGCUUACGAGAUUGCAAUGAGAACAAUUUAAAUCUCUUAGCGAGGAACAAUUGGAGGGCAAGUCUGGUGCCAGCAGCCGCGGUAAUUCCAGCUCCAAUAGCGUAUAUUAAAGUUGUUGCAGUUAAAAAGCUCGUAGUUGAAUUUCUGAUUAUGGAUGUAGCGGUUUCCGUUACAUUUGUAGUCAUCCACAUGAGAACCUUUCUCGGCCUUCACUGGUCGGUUGGGGGAUCAUGUACUUUACUUUGAAAAAAUCAGAGUGUUUCAGGCAGGCGUUUGCAUGAAUACACAAGCAUGGAAUAAUGGAAUAGGACUAGGGUCCAUUUUAUUGGUUAUUGGACCAUAGUAAUGAUUAAUAGGGACAGUUGGGGGGCG
RNAcentral lists this ribosomal RNA (526 nucleotides) under uncultured eukaryote. RNAcentral's name for it is "SSU rRNA". It matches the Rfam family "Eukaryotic small subunit ribosomal RNA", at positions 340 to 891 of the family's 1831-position model. The record is from RNAcentral.